RNAcentral lists this long non-coding RNA (1399 nucleotides) under Helianthus annuus (common sunflower). Its description in RNAcentral is "hypothetical non coding rna". Lineage: Eukaryota; Viridiplantae; Streptophyta; Magnoliopsida; Asterales; Asteraceae. The record is from RNAcentral.
UGAAUAUGCCAUCUUUCAUAACCAACUUAAAAGGGAAGAAAUUUAAAUAUACUUAAAAUAAAAUAAUAAAUCAUCAUCACCAUUUUGCUCUCUAUUUUUUAUGCUUAUCGCCACUAAUAAAUUCUCCAAAUUAGAAGAUUGAUUUAAACAAGAAAACACAAUUAGAGAGCUCUCAGGAAGUGUCAUGUGUACCCAGCCUCCAUCUAAGGGGGUUGUUUGGAUUUGAUUAUGUUGUUUGAUAUCACAAUAAUCAGAUAAUCAAUUAUUGAGUGUUUGGCAAAUAUAUAUAUUUUAAAAAAUAAAUAAGUGAAAUCUUAAUCCCAAUAGGUAUCUUGCCAACUGCACUCAAUAGUCAAUAACAUGGCCUUAACCUCACUCCUACUUGUAACUUCAACCCAACCAAGUUGAACAUGACCUCCAAAGUACCCAAGUGGGUAAGACUCAACCGACGGAAACAAAAAACAAGAAAAAGGGUUAGAAAAAUUUCAAGAAAUUAUAGGUUUCCAUACUUUUGUUAGGUUCUCAAAAUAAAAAUUAUGGGUGGAAAGUUUGUCCUAAUCAUAAAAGUAUGUUCCAGCCUUAUGUCUACCCUGUUGAUUCUCCCCCAUGAGCUUAAAAUUACCUAAAUGCCACUGCACAUCCGCUGAGCCAAAAAUAGGCGAAAACAUAAAGCUGAGCAGAAUCAAAACCAAGAUAUAAAUUGUGGUGAAUUAAUGUUAAACGGGUCAAAAAAUAGACAACUAAAAUGAAAUGGUUAUUGCCAAGUCCAUGUGUAUAUUAAGUUCGAGACUUCAGAAAUGAUGAUACGAGUCACGAGAAAAACUACAAAAAAAACAAACCACACAAAACAAUAUCAUCAAAGCUUUGAAUGGCUGUUGAUGUGCUACAAGUUGACUGCCAGUUUGUUCACAGUUAGUCAUCAUUAUUACUAAAGAACUCCCCAAACAACUUGACAUUGUUACAAGUAACCAGGUAGUUUCUUAUGAUCUUAACCACUUAAUAUAUGUUGUCAAAGUUGGUGGAAAUGAGAAAGACAGUGUUCGAAAUCAAAGCCACUAAAAUGGCCAUAUACAAACACAUAAAAUGAAAAGAGACCGAGAGGCGACAACAGAAUGAAACUACCAGCUUAAUUAGGAUUAAAACUGCUUAUGUGAUAGGCUAAGUAGCUUCGAUCACCACACUUCGCAAACAAACUACCAUUAGAGUGGAAAGUUAUAAGAACACAAACUCUGCAAGAACAGAUGAUACUAAACACAUCAACUUAUCUUAUUGCUAUGUGAUAAUCAGAUGAAACAAAAUAACAAAUACAACUGUUACUCAUCUAUGAGAUCCUUGUAGCAAUAAUUCUGCGAGACAAUUCAUCGAACACCUAGAGUGCAUACACUACGCCACCAAAGAU